GACGAACGCUGGCGGCGUGCUUAACACAUGCAAGUCGAACGGAAAGGCCCUGCUUUUGUGGGGUGCUCGAGUGGCGAACGGGUGAGUAACACGUGAGUAACCUGCCCUUGACUUUGGGAUAACUUCAGGAAACUGGGGCUAAUACCGGAUAGGAGCUCCUGCUGCAUGGUGGGGGUUGGAAAGUUUCGGCGGUUGGGGAUGGACUCGCGGCUUAUCAGCUUGUUGGUGGGGUAGUGGCUUACCAAGGCUUUGACGGGUAGCCGGCCUGAGAGGGUGACCGGCCACAUUGGGACUGAGGUACGGCCCAGACUCCUACGGGAGGCAGCAGUGGGGAAUAUUGCACAAUGGGCGGAAGCCUGAUGCAGCAACGCCGCGUGCGGGAUGACGGCCUUCGGGUUGUAAACCGCUUUCGCCUGUGACGAAGCGUGAGUGACGGUAAUGGGUAAAGAAGCACCGGCUAACUACGUGCCAGCAGCCGCGGUGAUACGUGGGGUGCGAGCGUUGUCCGGAUUUAUUGGGCGUAAAGGGCUCGUAGGUGGUUGAUCGCGUCGGAAGUGUAAUCUUGGGGCUUAACCCUGAGCGUGCUUUCGAUACGGGUUGACUUGAGGAAGGUAGGGGAGAAUGGAAUUCCUGGUGGAGCGGUGGAAUGCGCAGAUAUCAGGAGGAACACCAGUGGCGAAGGCGGUUCUCUGGGCCUUUCCUGACGCUGAGGAGCGAAAGCGUGGGGAGCGAACAGGCUUAGAUACCCUGGUAGUCCACGCUGUAAACGGUGGGUACUAGGUGUGGGGUCCAUUCCACGGGUUCCGUGCCGUAGCUAACGCUUUAAGUACCCCGCCUGGGGAGUACGGCCGCAAGGCUAAAACUCAAAGGAAUUGACGGGGCCCCGCACAAGCGGCGGAGCAUGCGGAUUAAUUCGAUGCAACGCGUAGAACCUUACCUGGGUUUGACAUGGAUCGGGAGUGCUCAGAGAUGGGUGUGCCUCUUUUGGGGUCGGUUCACAGGUGGUGCAUGGCUGUCGUCAGCUCGUGUCGUGAGAUGUUGGGUUAAGUCCCGCAACGAGCGCAACCCUUGUUCACUGUUGCCAGCACGUUAUGGUGGGGACUCAGUGGAGACCGCCGGGGUCAACUCGGAGGAAGGUGGGGAUGACGUCAAGUCAUCAUGCCCCUUAUGUCCAGGGCUUCACGCAUGCUACAAUGGCUGGUACAGAGAGUGGCGAGCCUGUGAGGGUGAGCGAAUCUCGGAAAGCCGGUCUCAGUUCGGAUUGGGGUCUGCAACUCGACCUCAUGAAGUCGGAGUCGCUAGUAAUCGCAGAUCAGCAACGCUGCGGUGAAUACGUUCCCG
This 1341-nucleotide ribosomal RNA is filed under the name uncultured bacterium. RNAcentral describes it as "16S ribosomal RNA". It matches the Rfam family "Bacterial small subunit ribosomal RNA", at positions 28 to 1376 of the family's 1533-position model. The record is from RNAcentral.